Non-coding RNA from Chlorocebus sabaeus (green monkey), 7138 nucleotides. NCBI's taxonomy places the organism in Eukaryota, Metazoa, Chordata, Mammalia, Primates, Cercopithecidae. The record is from RefSeq and is a predicted model, not a curated record.
GUCUUGAACUCCUGACCUCAAGUGAUCUGCCCUGCCCACCUCAGCCUCCCAAAGUGCUGGGAUUACAGGCGUGAGGCACUAUACCUGGCCAAUAAACUUUUAUAUACAGAAUUAUCAGAGGUGCUAUUUACAGUAUAACUAAGAUAACAUGACAACCUCUUUCUGGAGAAAAAAUGUAAUGUAUGCAUAAUGGUAGAAAACUCAUGCUAAAACACUCUAACUAGUCUGAAUCCCUCAUGUGGUGUAUUUAAAUGUAACACCCUUCACAUUUGAUCAGGCUUUUAACCUAUGUCGUUAUCCAUGUGUUCUGACCAGACAGUGAUGACAGGGUGAGAGGCAGAGCAGGGAGAGGGUAGGAAACUUAUUUGGUCAUCAGGAUAGGCAGCAAAAUCUAAUCUGAGCUCUCAGGCGUAAGCAGUUCAGGGCCUAAUUAUCUGGCCUUUCCUAGAACUGAUUGGCCUUUCCUGGAACUGAAGAAACAGUACCAUCCUGAAUAUGAGUAUAAACUUAUAUACUGGUGCCAUCAUUCAGGGAAGGUUUACACUUCACCAACACCCCCUCCAAGUCUAACAAUUCCUUAUUCACUCAAUAAAUAUAGAAUGAAUUUCCACUAAGUGCCAGACAAUGCCGGGAAUACCUAAGCAAACCAAACAGAUGAAAAUCCUGCCCUUAUGAAGCAUAUAUUUUAAUGGGAGGAUAGAAAAAGUCAAGAAAAUUAAUGUCAGACAUUUACUACAUCCAGUGGCGAUCCAUAGAGGGAGGCAAAACAAGAAAGAGUGCAUGAUUUUAAAUACAUCGAUGAGGAGGAGCCCCACUGCGAAGGUGAUGUUUAGGCAAAGACUUGAAGAAGUGAGGAAGUAAACCACGUAAAAGUCAUGAGGAAGAACAUUCCAGAAACUGAAACAGUAAAUGCAGAGAUCAUGAGAAACCUUUAGAAAUUUAGCAUCCAAAUCGUUGCCAUACAGGCACCAACACCUACCUCGAAAUUGAAACCUAUGCAUAAUAUCAGACUGUUUUGUCGAGAAAUGUGCUUUCAUUAUUUCCACAAGUUCACCAGUUGUCUUAGACUUUUGGAAAACAAGGCGGUGAUGACGGUCUGUUUCUAUGUAUCUUUAGACAUCUUGUUAGGCAUGUUUUUGUUCUUGUUCUCCCUUUUUCUAAAAGAAAAGGUUAUUUCUCACAUGUAUCUGGAGAAGUAAGAGGAAUUAAAUCAGAAUCUUCAGUCUGCCCUGAAACAACCUGCAUAGGUCCAAGCUCAGCUCAGUUUGCAGAGUGGGAACCACGUGUCCUUACCAUGAAUUCUUCUGGUAAAUUACACUGCCUAUUCUUGGUUACUGUAUUACCUUUCUGUGGCUGCUAUAAUAAAUUACCAUAUACUCAGUGGCUUAAAAUAUCAGCUCUGUAGGUUGGAAAUAUGACAUAGGUCUCUCCAGGCUAAAGUCAAGCUCCGUUGACAGGGCCACAUUACUUCCUGUAGGAUCCAUUUUCUUGCUUUUUCCUGCUUCCAGAGGCCAUUCCCAUUCCUUUGUUCAUUGCCUUCUUCCUUCUUCCUCAAGCCUAUCAAAGACAAGGUGAAUCCUUCUCCUACUGUAUCUCUCUGGUGUUGCUUCUGUAAUCACAUCCCCUUCUCUCACUGGUGACUCUCUUUCCCUUCCCUUCUCCACUGGCAAGAAUCCUUAUAAUUAUAUGGACCAACUCACUCACCCAGAAUAUCCUCCAAAUCCCUACUUAAUCAUAUUUGCAAAGUCCCUCAUCCCAUGUAGGGCAACAUAUUUAUAGGUUCUGUGGAUUAAGAUGUGGACAUAUUUGGGGGACAUUAUUCUGCCUCCCACAGUUAGUAUGUUUCUCUCUUGUUUUUUAUUUUUCUUUUUUCAUUUUUCAGGAUCUGAUCUAAAUUGUAUAAGAAAAGUUUGCAUUAGUCACUGCAAAACUUGCAAGAGACAGAAAAGGGCUUACAUAUGGACAAUUAUUAGAAUAAAAACUAUUUUCUAGGAUAAUAUCACCCUAAAAGGGCAGUAAACAAUGAUAGGUUCUAAAAAGAAUGAAACAGUGAAAGAAUUAAGUCAAUCACAGCACCCAGGACACAUUCUCAUAAUGUGUAAAUUGGAGGAAAUUAACUAACCACUCUGAGCCUCAGUUUCUUUAAAAUAACCUUUCAGGGAUUUUAUAAGAAUUAAGAGGAUAAACUGUAUGCAGUAGGGGCUAACAUGGGACUAGUGCACAUUGAGCAUUUACUUGGUUGUUAGUGUUGUUGCUGUUUUUGUGAUUGUUAACUUUUUUCUUUUACUUGCUUUCUAUUACCCCUAGUCUCUGAAUAAAAGCCUAGAUUUUAAAAUAUUUUCUAUACAGGUUAGUCUUAUAUAUUGCAUUUGACCCAAAUAAAUAUUGCUGCUUUUCUCUCCUUCACAGUUUGGGGGACUCUUGAACUCACUAUGCAAAUUAAAUCCAGCCAAAGGCCAAAUCAGUAUGCUGUGGCACAAACCCUGGAGCUAUUUUUAAGAGAACUUCCCUAUGGUCACCGCCCCUCUCGUUUCUUCCCUCUCACAGCUGUUGCUAAGAGGGAAAAUCACCUGGCAGAGAGUGGCAGCAGCAGCUGUCAGUGUAGAGAAAGGCUGUGGCCCAGCAGCCAGAGCUCCUGCCUCCUGCUAAAGGCAGCAGCAGUGAGCUUAGAUCAGGUGGGCAGCAAUACUCAAGAUCAGGCUGCCCCCAGGGCAGCUGAACAUCUGCCUAGUGACCUUCAGGGCCACCUGCCUCUUCACGAAUGGCCUAGGUGGAGGGAAGAGCAGUAGCUACCUGUUGUCGCUCUGCUCCAUUUCUGAUGAGCCUCAAGUCCAUCUCUUAUGCUGGUGUUAAGCCCCAGAUGCCCCAACACUAGAGAUUAUGUAUGUCUACUUUCUGACAGUAGAUAGUUUGGAUGGCAUAGAUUGAGGAGCCUCUGCUCCCUCUAGACCCAUGUACUGAUUUUACUCUUGAGGGGAAUGGAUGUCUAGCUGUCACUAUUUACACUAUUUGCCUUUCUGACCUUUGCUGACAUGAAUCAUGGAGCCACCGAAUGUUCAAUUUGUGUCUUAGAAAUCGCUGACUCCAACCACCUAAAAAAGGGAAAUGAAGGCCUAGAAAGAGACAGCGAUUUUCCCAAAGACAAGAACUCGAACCCCGUUUUGUCUAGCUCCCAAUAACUUUUCUUUUCAUGCACCCCCACCCACAUUCUAUACCCACAGUCUAUGCUGCCUGUCUUUGUAUCUCAAGAUAUAAUUUUUCCAUGGAGGAAGCAGGUGAGUAGCAUGUUAUUGCCAGAAUUUAAUAUUAAACAUUAUUUUCCUGCAGGCAAUAAGAUGCAGUAGUCCUCUGCAGGUGGUUUAGGGCAAUGGCAAGGAUGGUCAGAGAGAAUACCAUAUUUAAGAUGCAGCAUCAUGGACUGAGCUUGGUGGCCACAUGAUAUACAACAGCUGUGUUGGCCUAAGCCUAGCCUUUGGGGACUUCACAGACGGCAGAUGGGUGGCAGAAGGAAAAGUUGGUGAGUGACCAGGGGAAAUGCAAGUCCACAUGUUCCCUCAACCUCUUUAAAAAUGGAUCCACAAUUUCCAUGUUCCCAAACAAUCACCUAUCACUGAUUAAUAAAUUAAAACCAGAAUGGGAGGCUCAAAGGAAAUCUAAAAUGUCAAAUCUGUCUGUUCUGUUAAAAAAGCACCUAGCAAGGAUUGUGUAUAGCUUAAUGGCAGGGACAUGUUUUAUUCACAUUUUUAUUUUUUAUACUAUUUAUAAUCGUGCCUCCCCCCACACGGCCCACCCCCCAGGACUCAACACUGUGCAGUACACAACAGGCACUCAAUACGUGUGUUAACUUGACUGCGUUCUUUUACACUGACCUAAAAUGGGUAAAACUCUCCAUUUCCCUUUUUCAUGAGUUUUCAAGUGGCUCAGGUUCACUUGGCACUACAGACAAUACAAGAGCAAUCAGCCAAGAAUGAAAUGCCCUGAAGACUGGAAAAGCAGACAUUAAAACCACUUGCUGCAGAAAGUCCUCAGCGUGAGGAGGAGGAAAGCGCUGCCCCCGAGCUGCGGAGGGCACCCACCAGGCGGGACACAGCUGCUUCCAGUGAUCUGACGAUCCCAUUAUUCUCCAAGUUUGCUCAGAUUAAUCAGACUCUCCAAAUAUUCUGAGGCUCCCUAACACCCAACUAAUAGCUACAUCAAGGACAAAUUUAUGCUAAUCUGCUCAUGUGUACGCCCCACAGUCAUUAGCUGAGGAGACUGGCUCCUCUGUACAAGAACUAGGGUUUCAUAAGUAGACAACUAAUGGAAAUGUUUCUAAUAAUUCUCCACACUAAUUCUGUAUUGCUUUUAGUGCUCACACAUAUGUGCCUGCAGUUUUUCAUCAAGUAUCUACAGGAUCUUAUUAUGUGGCAAGACGGCUUCUGGUAGACAGUAGCUUCUAAGGGAAAAACAGCUUUUUGAUGGAUGUAGGUUACUCAAGUGUAUUUAAUAGAUUCCACCCAGGGUAGUUUGUCAUCAAGAAUAACAAUACACACAUUCUGAUUUACGUCAGCCUCAUUAAUUAUGUCCUUACCAGUCCAUAUUUUGAAGUAGCUCCAUGUAUGCUGAAUUUACUUUUAAAAUGUUCAUCUUCAUUUAACCGAAAGCCCUGCUGCAGUCCCCACUGAAAUGACUGUUGUUUAUUGGCCGAGCAGAUCAGCUUUACUUUCCCUGCCAAAGGUAAAUACCCAAAAGGAAUCCAAAAUUACACUGAAUGAAAAUCUGGAUGAGCACCAUUUGUGUUUUAAUUUGGAUAAAAACAGUCUUCGAAGGUUAUGUGCUGUGAGGCACAUUUGGCUUAUAAAGUAGGUCGGAGGUUCCUAAAUGACUGAAAUUAUUCCAAGCAAACUGAGUUUUGUCCCAAACUGGUUAUUUUGUGUGGACCAACACAGGAAAAUGAAAGGAUAAGUUGGAAAGCAAUGGUGUGUCUGGUUGGUUUGGUCUCUAAGGAUCAACUGAUUCCUUUAUGAUUCAUUUGCAUGUCACUGUGGCUAGACUAACCCAUCUGUUCUCCUGAUGCCCACCCACCCAGCAGUCACCUUGACAUCUGCCAUCCCAGCCUUCCCACUGCAUCUUCUGCUUACACCCUUGUCUCCUCUCUGGACUUCUUUGCUUCCUUACCUAUUCCAUGGCCUUGGACAAGUCACAAUCUUACUGAUACUCAGUUUUACUAUUAAAAUGGGGAUAAUGGAGAACACCCUUAGGGAUGCCCUAAAGAAUAAAUGAGACAAUGUAGAUAAAGAAGCACCAUGUCUGAAGCAAGGUAAAGACUCAAUUAAUAUGAGUUAAUAUUAUUAUCUUCAUUAUCCUCUUCAAGAAUUGGCACAAAGUAAGGAGCAAGGCAGUAGCAACGUGCUGGAGAAGCUGGGCCCAGAGCUGGGUCAGAAGAGUUGGUUAUUGCAGAAGGAGCUAAGGAAGCCCUUGCAAUAGGAGGAAAGACAAAGAUCGAGGCUUAAUACACAACUGUAAACUGGCACUCUCACCACCCCUGCAGCCUACUGGAGGGCAGAUAUGAAAACAGAGUUGGAACAUUGCACAGACAUAAUGGGUCAUUUUACCACUGGGCGAAUAACAACACAAUGACUUCUAUGAAAGGCUUGGGGUGAAUGUUCCAUCCACUGGACACAAUUCAGUCAUUAAGUCACACUGCUGGGAAUUCUAUAUGCCAUUUUAUUCCAUAUCAAACAGUUGUUUCCUUAGGUAGACUCAUGCUACAAGCUGUCCUAAAUGUUUUUGGUAUUUUUGACUUCCCCUUUAUUGAUGUUUAGAAUAAAGGUGUGUAUGCCCAAUGAGAAAAGAAAAGAAAAAAAAAGACAAAAAACCCAUUUUGUCUAUAUUGAUCUGAGCUUAGAAAGUUACAAGUCGGUCACUGACAACCACACCUGGGGGCUCCACAGGGCUAGGAGAAGGCAGCACAGGUACCAUCUUCUUCCCAGUGCGAGUUCCGCCCUAACCCUGGUGGGCUCCUGGUCACAUCCCCCUGAGUUUCUUCUCACUGCAUCAUUCCCAUUACUUACCGAUACUGCCUUAGUCAUUAACUGUUCCCUUUUAAAGUGAUCUUGUUAGAGUAUAAAUCAGAUCAUGUCAUUUCGCUUACACAGAACCAUUACACUUUAGAGUAAAAUCCAAAACUCUUACUGCAGGCUACAAGGACCAGAAUGUUCUGGUCCUUCUUCACAUCUCCAAACUCAUCCACAUCUCAUUUCAGCCCUACCAUGAUUUACCUUCUGUCCUUGCAACAUGCCAACCUCCUUCCUUUCUCAUUUGUGUUGGCUUUCCUCUCUGCAUGAAACUAUCACUCCGUUGCCCCUCCCCUGGCCCCUUGUAUUCAUCUUAAAUGACCCCUUCAUAGAGCGGCUCCCUUCAUCACACUACAGAAAGGAACCCUUAGCUAACACCCUUAGUAACUCUCUACCUCAUCAGUAUUUUAGUCAGCCUGAGAGUGUUUAUCACAAUGGGCACUCAUUUUGUAUAUUUAUUUCCUUAUUUUGUUAUGACUGUAGCUGUUUGCGGAGAGAAACCUGUAAGUCCCUGCUGUGGCCAUGGCACCUGGGCCAGUGCCUGGAAUUGAGUAGAUGUGAAUUAAGUAUUCAAUGAAUGAGUAAAUACAUGCUUCCUUCGAGGUUUUCCAUUUUAUGCAAAACAGCAUGUCAUUUGAUAAUUAUGCUCAUGAUCUCUUUAUAAACAUUUUUGUGGGGGGUAGAAAUAGUAUCGCACAGAUCACAGUGAGAGGAAAAAAAGUAAUGGGUUAUACAAAAAAGCUAGAACUGAUGAGUGCUAAAUCACUGAAAACAGUGGCUUAAAUGAGAGUUUCUGAAAUCCAGUGCAAGACACUAAGCCGAGGACUAAUAGAUAUUUGUAGUUGAAACGUCUGUUUUAUAAAGCAAUUGAGAAAUCAUAAAAAUGUCUUGUGCCUUUAGGGCCUAAAUAUCCCAAGACAAAUAUAUAUUUUUAAAUAUAUUAUUUAUUCCUUUUCAAAGAAUCUGAAUUCCACUAUAAUUCAGAAUUCCACUCGGCAUUCCACUAUAUAUCACUGAUGGUAAUCUAUUCACCAAACUGGCUUGCAACAGGGAAUUCUGGCUGAGGUUUGUGUGCCCUUAAA